RNAcentral lists this ribosomal RNA (427 nucleotides) under uncultured bacterium. RNAcentral's name for it is "partial 16S ribosomal RNA". It matches the Rfam family "Bacterial small subunit ribosomal RNA", at positions 355 to 774 of the family's 1533-position model. The record is from RNAcentral.
UGGGGAAUAUUGGACAAUGGUCGAAAGCCUGAUCCAGCCAUGCCGCGUGUGUGAAGAAGGUCUUCGGAUUGUAAAGCACUUUAAGAUGGGAGGAAGGGCAUUAACCUAAUACGUUAGUGUUUUGACGUUACCGACAGAAUAAGCACCGGCUAACUCUGUGCCAGCAGCCGCGGUAAUACAGAGGGUGCAAGCGUUAAUCGGAAUUACUGGGCGUAAAGCGCGCGUAGGUGGUUUGUUAAGUUGGAUGUGAAAUCCCCGGGCUCAACCUGGGAACUGCAUUCAAAACUGACUGACUAGAGUAUGGUAGAGGGUGGUGGAAUUUCCUGUGUAGCGGUGAAAUGCGUAGAUAUAGGAAGGAACACCAGUGGCGAAGGCGACCACCUGGACUAAUACUGACACUGAGGUGCGAAAGCGUGGGGAGCAAACA